Molecule: ribosomal RNA, 494 nt
Filed under: uncultured bacterium
Lineage: Bacteria
Description: partial 16S ribosomal RNA
Rfam family: Bacterial small subunit ribosomal RNA
Source: RNAcentral
GACGAACGCUGGCGGCGCGCUUAACACAUGCAAGUCGAACGGAAAGGCCUGCUUUCCCUUGUGGAUUGCGGGUACUCGAGUGGCGAACGGGUGAGUAACACGUGAGUGAUCUGCCCCCAACUUGGGUAUAAGCCUGGGAAACUGGGUCUAAUUCCCGAUAGGACUGCAGGGUGGUGCCUGUGGUGGAAAACGAUUUUCUAGUGGUUGGGGAUGAGCUCGCGGCCUAUCAGCUUGUUGGUGGGGUAAUGGCCUACCAAGGCGGCGACGGGUAGCCGGCCUGGGAGGGUGGGCGGCCAAAUUGGGACUGAGAUACGGCCCAGACUCCUACGGGAGGCAGCAGUGGGGAAUAUUGCACAAUGGGCGGAAGCCUGAUGCAGCGACGCCGCGUGGGGGAUGACGGCCUUCGGGUUGUAAACUCCUUUCGACCGCGAGGAAGCCACCUGGUUGGAAGGGUGGUGACGGUAGUGGUAGAAGAAGCACCGGCUAACUACGUG